GUUCUUUAGUACAUCAUUAAGGAUUUUCGUAUAAAUAUCAGGUGAUGCAUACCACAAUUUGUUCUAUACUAUUUACAAAUAUCAUAUAGUAUAAGUAAAAUAUAUGUCAGAUCCGAUUUAAUUACUUUUGUCCUCCGCCGCCGUUAAACCCUUCCACUGGAUCUGCAAAAUAUAUGUCAGGUUUGAUUUAAUUGCCGACAACCUAAAUCAAGCUUACUUCGAACAUGGUUAUAUUUUCCGUACUGCUAUAAAUCAGACAUACUUACCUCGAUUCAUGCUCUUUCUUCUUUGCAAUCGCUCGGCCUCAGUAACCCUAACUUUUUCUUGACUUUUAUAAAAAUUGCUUCAGCCAUUAGUCGAACUGGUAAUCUUUUCUUUCCCCAAACACAGACAAACGAAAGUUUUGGCUCUCCAAAUCUGUAUUCUUUCUCGCAUGAGUUCUUUU
RNAcentral lists this long non-coding RNA (445 nucleotides) under Brassica napus (rape). RNAcentral describes it as "long non-coding RNA (BNAP_LNC010484)". The record is from RNAcentral. Lineage: Eukaryota; Viridiplantae; Streptophyta; Magnoliopsida; Brassicales; Brassicaceae.